Molecule: ribosomal RNA, 499 nt
Filed under: uncultured bacterium
Lineage: Bacteria
Description: partial 16S ribosomal RNA
Rfam family: Bacterial small subunit ribosomal RNA
Source: RNAcentral
ACUCAAAGGAAUUGACGGGAGAGCGCACAACCAGUGGAGCAUGUGGUUCAAUUCGAGACAAACCGAAGAACCUUACCAGGGUUUGACAUGCUAUCGUUUUAGUUCCGCAGAAACGUGGAAUGAUCUUAUUGAAAAAUAGGAUGAUAGCACAGGUGUUGCAUGGCUGUCGUCAGCUCGUGCCGUGGGGUGUUCCCUUCAGUGGGGUAACGAGCGCAACCCCUGUCCUGUAUUAAAUAUUUACAGGAGACUUUUCACCUUUUUGGUGGGAGGAAGUGGGGAUGAUGUCAAGUCAGCAUGGCCCUUAUGUCCUGGGCUACACACAUGCUACAAUGGAGCCGACAAUGGGUUGCCAAGCCGUAAGGCGGAGCUAAUCCCAUCAAACGGCUUCUCAGUGGGGAUUGAGGGCUGCAAUUCGCCCUCAUGAACGCGGAAUUGGUAGUAAUCGGGUAUCAGCUAUGGCCCGGUGAAUACGUUCUCGCUCUUUGUACACACCGCCCGU